This 1070-nucleotide long non-coding RNA is filed under the name Bos indicus x Bos taurus (hybrid cattle). RNAcentral's name for it is "lncRNA (ENSBIXG00000014741.1)". The record is from RNAcentral. Lineage: Eukaryota; Metazoa; Chordata; Mammalia; Artiodactyla; Bovidae.
CUGAAAGAGUGCUGAUGCGGUUCAGACUCCGCUCUCCACCACACAGGCCCGUGUUGCCCAGGCCUGUCACAAAGCGGGGGGGGAGAAGGGCAGGUUUUGUUCUAUUCUUUAGGCUCCUUCUGUGUGAGAGGCCAUUCAGGCGCUCACUGCUUCUCCGCACCCGCGUUCUCUGCCCCUCUCCCUGGCUCACACCCUCUCUCUGUUUCUCUCUGUUAGGCCAGCAUGAGAGGAGCGCCGCUGGCUGGGAAUGUGCUUUGAUGUCGACCUCUGGCUGCCACGGCCAGACCUGCCUUGGUGGUUUCCUCUAUUUUAAGAUCGGAGAUGGUGGGGUAGGAAGAGGAAGAGAAGCCACCGUACAUCGUCUUGGCCCCAAACCACGGUGACAUUUCCACGUCAGUGUCCUGUGAGUGCUCACCAGAAAGAGGAGGCGGAAGUGUGGAGCACGAUGCGUUUUUCCCUCUCAACGUCUGAGUCUCACUGCCAUGUCCACCAUCCCUCCCCAGGGGUGGAUCACUGAGCCCCGUCUGCACAGCCUCCUCCGCAUGAAAGCCCCAGCAGAACAAUUCCUCUUUACUAUUCUAACUUUGCUUUUGUCAAUAAGCACUGAAGACAUAAAAAGAGAAGAUGGGCUUUGCUCCUGAAUGAGAGCGAUUUGACUUUCAAUAUCAAGAGAGUGGCAAAUACCUUCAGAUGUUGUGUCCUGCUGAGCCUUUUCAGAGGCAGGUUUUUGUCUGCAGAAGGCUGUUUUCUCCUCACACUAGACCCAGAGAGGUGAUCUCCUCUUUAUUUGACCUCAUGGAUGCCUCUUGGCGUGCCAAACUGGGCCCCGGUAAUUUGGGGGGAAUGGCAGGCACAAAGCCAUGUUUUCAUGAGACGCUUUCGGCCAUGCCAUAGUGAGCAGGAGUCCAGGUGCAUAAAGCUCGUCUGUCUUGUGUGUUUGGGCUGCUGCCCUUUCUCUCUCUCCAUACAGCCCCAGAGUGGCAACUUCUUAAGGCAGAGCUGUAAAGUAGGCAUGAAAUUGGCACUUUGAGAUGCUAUGCUUUUUGCAAGCUUUGAGGCACACAUCGAGA